GGAGGGAGCAAGCGUUGUUCGGAUUUACUGGGCGUAAAGGGCGUGUAGGCGGCCUAGCAAGUCGGGCGUGAAAUCCUCUGGCUCAACCAGAGAACUGCACCCGAAACUGCCAGGCUUGAGUAUAGGAGAGGAAAGCGGAAUUCCUGGUGUAGCGGUGAAAUGCGUAGAUAUCAGGAAGAACACCAGUGGCGAAGGCGGCUUUCUGGCCUACUACUGACGCUGAUGCGCGAAAGCCGGGGGAGCGAACAGGGAUUAGAUACCCUGGUAGUCCCGGCCGUAAACGUUGGGCACUAGGUGUAGGGGGUAUCGACCCCCCCCUCUGUGCCGAAGCUAACGCAUUAAGUGCCCCGCCUGGGGAGUACGACCGCAAGGUUG
RNAcentral lists this ribosomal RNA (375 nucleotides) under uncultured organism. Its description in RNAcentral is "partial 16S ribosomal RNA". It matches the Rfam family "Bacterial small subunit ribosomal RNA", at positions 527 to 896 of the family's 1533-position model. The record is from RNAcentral.